CGGGACGUAGCGCAGCCUGGUAGCGUACAUGCAUGGGGUGCAUGUGGUCGGAGGUUCAAAUCCUCUCGUCCCGACCA
This 77-nucleotide transfer RNA is filed under the name Alkalimarinus alittae. RNAcentral's name for it is "Alkalimarinus sp. A2M4 tRNA-Pro". It matches the Rfam family "tRNA". Rfam says of the family: Transfer RNA (tRNA) molecules are approximately 80 nucleotides in length. The record is from RNAcentral. Lineage: Bacteria; Pseudomonadati; Pseudomonadota; Gammaproteobacteria; Alteromonadales; Alteromonadaceae.